UGGGGAAUUUUGCACAAUGGGGGAAACCCUGAUGCAGCGACGCCGCGUGAUUUAGAAGGCCUUCGGGUUGUAAAAAUCUUUUCUAUGGGAAGAAAAUGACAGUACCAUAGGAAUAAGGACCGGCUAAUUACGUGCCAGCAGCCGCGGUAAUACGUAAGGUCCGAGCGUUGGCCGGAAUCAUUGGGCGUAAAGGGUACGUAGGCGGGUAAGCAAGUUAGAAGUGAAAUCCUAUAGCUCAACUAUAGUAAGCUUUUAAAACUGCUCAUCUUGAGGUAUGGAAGGGAAAGUGGAAUUCCUAGUGUAGCGGUGAAAUGCGCAGAUAUUAGGAGGAAUCCCGGUGGCGAAGGCGACUUUCUGGCCAUAACCUGACGCUGAGGUACGAAAGCGUGGGUAGCAAACAGG
This 402-nucleotide ribosomal RNA is filed under the name bacterium. RNAcentral describes it as "partial 16S ribosomal RNA". It matches the Rfam family "Bacterial small subunit ribosomal RNA", at positions 355 to 776 of the family's 1533-position model. The record is from RNAcentral.